This 334-nucleotide unclassified non-coding RNA is filed under the name soil metagenome. Its description in RNAcentral is "partial contains 5.8S ribosomal RNA, internal transcribed spacer 2, and large subunit ribosomal RNA". The stretch from base 1 to 120 matches the Rfam family "5.8S ribosomal RNA", at positions 35 to 154 of the family's 154-position model. The record is from RNAcentral.
GAUGAAGAACGUAGCGAAAUGCGAUAAGUAAUGUGAAUUGCAGAAUUCAGUGAAUCAUCGAAUCUUUGAACGCACAUUGCGCCCCCCAGUAUUCUGGCGGGCAUGCCUGUUCGAGCGUCAUUUCAACCAUCAAGCCCUGCUUGUGUUGGGGUCCUGCGGCUGCCCGCAGGCCCUGAAAACCAGUGGCGGGCUCGCUAGUCACACCGAGCGCAGUAGCACAUCUCGCUCAGGGCGUGCGGCGGGCUCCAGCCGUUAAAGCACCCACCUUUCGCAAGGUUGACCUCGGAUCAGGUAGGAAUACCCGCCGAACUUAAGCAUAUCAAUAAGCGGAGGA